GAGAAGUUUGGCUAAGCAUCAGGUUCAUUAACCUUUGGGUGACUUUUUCUCAAUAGAUACAUGGCUGUUGCAGAAGCAGCUUCAGGAAAAGAAUAUUGCUUUUCAGUUGGCCUCUUGCCUUGACUGAUGAGAUGUUAACAGCUCCUAAGAAGAAGAAAAUCCAUAUGCCAAAGACGACCGUGGGCUCAAUUUCCUACAGAGGAAGAGUGUUGGAUGAAGCAUGGAAGCAGGUUUAAAUGGGGCUAAUAAAAGAAGUCUCCACAGUUGUGCACAAAUAGUAUAAGAUGGGGUGCAAAACCUGUGCUCCCCCAGCUCUGGUUCAGUGACAAGAGGACAAUCACACAGGUGACAGAAGCGUGCCAGCAUGAUAUGAAGGAACAUUGGCUCUGGUCUACCGAGAGCUUUGUAAAUGCCUAGUGAUCUGCUUAGGGCAAGUCAUGUGCAAGCACCUGAGAACUUGCUACGCUUCAGGCAUCGGAACACAUCAAGUUCACUGCUGAACAUGGAUUUCAUCGACCAAUCAUUAUACUCCCUAAGUCAUGAGGUGAACAACUUUCAAAGACAUGAAGAAAACCCUGUAUAUAGGGGAAGAAAAGACUGGACUGUGCAGGGGAGAGGAAGCAUCCAAACGUUAAUGGCUAUUGAAACAUCCACUGGGACACAAGAACUCAGGGAGUUGACUGGGAGAUGCUCACACUUUGCAAGGUUAGGGGAAUUGACAGUCCUGCCCCCAAAGCAGCUGUUUCCUGCAAUGUUAACCGAAUCAUCGGAACCUCCCAGUUUUGGGGAGACAGGUUGGAAAGUUUGGAGGAAAGAUCUUUCUGCUGACAUCUCAGGCGCUUUCACUCUGGACUGCAGCUACAUCACUGACAAUUUUACUUCCACAGUUCUUGUGAUGGUCCCUGUUGGUAAGCACAAGUGAGUAAAAUCCCUUACUCCCUCUUUAUUUUAUUACUAUUCAAAUGAAUCAGGGACCUGAAAGUUACCUCUCAG
This 993-nucleotide long non-coding RNA is filed under the name Struthio camelus australis. RNAcentral's name for it is "lncRNA (ENSSCUG00000016089.1)". Lineage: Eukaryota; Metazoa; Chordata; Aves; Struthioniformes; Struthionidae. The record is from RNAcentral.